RNAcentral lists this unclassified non-coding RNA (239 nucleotides) under uncultured Laccaria. RNAcentral's name for it is "sequence contains ITS1". The record is from RNAcentral. Lineage: Eukaryota; Fungi; Basidiomycota; Agaricomycetes; Agaricales; Tricholomataceae.
UUGAAUAAACCUGAUGUGGCUGUUAGCUGGCUUUUCGAAGCAUGUGCUCGCUCAUCAUCUUUAUCUUUCCACCUGUGCACCUUUUGUAGUCUUGAAUACCUCUCGAGGCAACUCGGAUAUUAGGAUCGCUGUGCUGCACAAGUCAGCUUUCCUGUCACUUUCAAGACUAUGUUUUUAUAUACACCCAUUGUAUGUUUAAAGAGUGUCAUCAAUAGGAACUUGUUUCCUAUAAAUCUAUA